Molecule: ribosomal RNA, 486 nt
Filed under: uncultured bacterium
Lineage: Bacteria
Description: partial 16S ribosomal RNA
Rfam family: Bacterial small subunit ribosomal RNA
Source: RNAcentral
GAUGAACGCUGGCGGCGUGCCUAAUACAUGCAAGUCGAACGCUGGAAAUCUAGCUUGCUAGAUUGAAGGAGUGGCGAACGGGUGAGUAAUACAUAAGCAACCUACCCACGAAGACUGGGAUAAUCUCUGGAAACGGGGACUAAUACCGGAUAGGUAAUCGGAAGGCAUCUUCUGAUUAUUAAAGGUUAAAAACACUGGUGGAUGGGCUUAUGGCGCAUUAGUUAGUUGGUGAGGUAACGGCCCACCAAGACGAUGAUGCGUAGCCGGCCUGAGAGGGUGAACGGCCACAUUGGGACUGAGACACGGCCCAGACUCCUACGGGAGGCAGCAGUAGGGAAUUUUCAGCAAUGGGGGAAACCCUGACCGAGCAACGCCGCGUGAGUGAUGACAGCCUUCGGGUUGUAAAGCUCUGUUGUAAGGGAAGAACGGUAGAUAGAGAAUAGCUAAAUGACGGUACCUUACCAGAAAGCCACGGCUAACUACGUG